RNAcentral lists this long non-coding RNA (2780 nucleotides) under Equus caballus (horse). Its description in RNAcentral is "lncRNA (ENSECAG00000057522.1)". Lineage: Eukaryota; Metazoa; Chordata; Mammalia; Perissodactyla; Equidae. The record is from RNAcentral.
CACCCUAUCAGUUUCAGUUUCUGACCCACCUCACCCCAUCUCCAGGGUAUCUGAGCACCGAAGCUCCUCUGGGCACCUGUCGGGGCCAGCUGGGCCUGUUCUUCCACUGGCUGAACAAGAGGCUGCAUUUGGGUGGGUCUCGGCCUAGAGGCCUCUUGCUUGUGUUGGCAGAGACAAAGAAGGGAGCAGGGAGGGCAGAGCUGGCUCCACCGGCCCCCAGCUUCAUGGCCACCACCCUGAGAUCCCAAGAGACCCUAGCAAAGUUUAGGAGAAGAACAGGAAGGGCUGGAUACACCCCUAACCCUCUAUCUUAACAGUGAGACAAUUUGAAUUUUGCUUUUUUUAUCCUCCAGUUUUUCCUCAUGCGUGUGGGGUUUUAGUAGUGAAAUACAUAUAUAUAUUAUACAUAUAUAUGAUAUGUUUAUUAUAUAUAAUUUUAUAUAUUAUAUACAUUAUAUAAUUUUAUACAUUAUAUAAGUAAUAUAUAUGUGUGUGUAUAUAUAAUUUUUUCUUAAUUUCAAAAAAUCGUCUCCCGUUCUCCUAGUUUCAUUCCGACUCAGUGCAAGGCUGGAAGCUUUGCCAGGAACUUUUCAGGGUGAGACAUUAUAAUAGUGAUCUAGACUGGAUCUCACAUAAUUCUCUCUUUCCUAAUUCUCCAGUUCAUUAGAAAUAAGGAAAACAUGAAAUUCCUAAACAUCAAAGCUAUUGCCUUGGGGCCGGCCCUGUGGCUGAGUGAUUAAGAGGGCUCAGCUUCAGCGGCCCAGGGUUUCACGGGUUCGAAUCCUGGGCACGGACGUGGCACCGCUCAUCAAGCCACACUGAGGCAGCAUCCCACAUGCCACAAUUGGAAGGACCCACAACAAAAAAUACACAACUAUGGGGCCGGCCCGGUGGCGCAGCGGUUAAGUGCCCACGUUCCGCUUCAGUGACUUGGAGUUCGCCAGUUCAGAUCUCGGGUACGGACAUGGCACCACUUGGCAAGCCAUGCUGUGGUAGACGUCCCACAUAUAAAGUAGAGGAAGAUGGGCCUGGAUGUGAGCUCAGGGCCAAUCUUCCUCAGCAAAAAGAGGAAGAUUGGCAGCAGUUGUUAGCUCAGGGCUAAUCUUCCUUAAAAAAAAAAAAAUACACAACUAUGUACUGGGGGGCUUUGAGGAGAAAAAGGAAAAAUAAAAUCUUUAAAAAAAUAAAUAAAUAAAAGCUAUUGCCAGUUGGAGGCCCCAAACACAACCAACCCACUGGCCAGUAGAUGGUGCCAAAGGUUAACCACUGCCUUUGGGCUGAAUGUCCAGUCUGGCGCCUUCAAACACUACUCAGGUCUUCAUUCUGCUCCUAGAUGGCUGCCUGCCAUGUGCCGGGUCUUGAGCCGGGUUUGAGGGAUAUAGAUGAGAUGAGAAAGACAAAGUCUGAUAUCAAUUCAGCCCAUGGGCUAAUUGCUGUGAAGGAGGCACCUAGAGAGAAUUUGGCCAGAGGUGAUUUCCGAGCUGAGCUGAGCCUGGUAGACAAGGUCGGCCUGGAGAAGAGGAGAAGAAUGCUCCAGGAGGAGGAACUGCCCUGAGGUUCUAGGUGCGUUUGGGGAACAACUGAGAGUGGACAGAGAAGGCAGAGAAGAUCAGGGCCAGACGCCAUACUCAGUGCUGACAACAGUGGGAGAGAAGGGGGGGAGUGCUCACUGUACUCCCUUCUGGUGACAGCGUGUGGCAAGCUGAUGAGGAAGUGACCACCCCAUCCUCGACUUCCAGGAGCGGCCGCCCAAGCUGAGACUCAAAGGAUGGGUUAAAACUUGCCACAUGAAGAACAAUUUUGGAGAACAACGGCGAGUCCAUCCUCUGAGCGCUCACUGUGUGCCAGGCACUAAGAGCUUCACUGGGAUUAGUUCAUGGCAUCCUCCCACCGCCUUCCUCUUAUCAUCCCUACUGUGAAGAUGAGAAGGCCGAACCACAGAGAGGCGGAGUAGCUUGCUCAGUCACAACCCAGCUGCACACCAUCCUCCUUGGAGUCAACUGUGCCUCUUUCCAAAUUUUUGAGGAAGAUUAGCCCUGAGCUAACAUCUGCUGCCAAUCUUCCUCUUUUUGCUGAGGAAGACUGGCCCUGAGUGAACAUCCAUGCCCAUCUUCCUCUACUUUAUAUGUGGGACACCUGCCACAGCAUGGCGCGCCAAGUGGUGCGUAGGUCCGCACCCAAGAUCCGAACUGGCAAACCCCAGGCCGCCAAAGUAGAGCGUGAAACUUAACCUCUGUGCCACCAGGCUGGCCCCUAAACAUCACCGCUUUUAAAAACAGCUUAUGAGGUAUAACUGACAUGCAAUGAGCUGCACACGUUUAAAGUACAACUUGGUAUGUUUCGACACACGUUUAUACCUGUGAGACCAUCACUGCCCUCGAGACAGUGAACAGACUCGUCGCCCAAAGUUUCCACGUGCCCCUCUGCACCCCUCCCUUCUGCUCCCGUCGGCCCCGCCCCCCACAGGCAACCACCAAUCCACCUCUGUCACUAUAAAUUCAUUUGCAUUUUCUAAGAUUUUAUAUAAGUAACUGGCACCUUUCCUUCAGUGUAAUUAUUUUGCAUAUAGAACAUUUACCAUGAUAGAUUAUAUUCAGGGCAAUAAAACAAGUCUCGAUAAAUUUGAAAGGAUUUCAAAUUUCAAAUCAUGCAAAGUAUGUUUUCUAACCACGAUGGAAUUAAAUAUUAGAAAUCUAUAACAAAAAGAUAUCUGGAAAGCCUCCACAUAUUUGGAAACUAACACACCAAUAAAUUAUCCGUGGGUCAAAGAAGAAAUCAAA